UCGAUAGCUCUUCUUUCAAUAUAUCUCUGC
Molecule: non-coding RNA, 30 nt
Filed under: Mus musculus (house mouse)
Lineage: Eukaryota; Metazoa; Chordata; Mammalia; Rodentia; Muridae
Source: RNAcentral